RNAcentral lists this ribosomal RNA (229 nucleotides) under uncultured bacterium. Its description in RNAcentral is "partial 16S ribosomal RNA". It matches the Rfam family "Bacterial small subunit ribosomal RNA", at positions 568 to 796 of the family's 1533-position model. The record is from RNAcentral.
UACGUAGGCGGGCUAAUAAGUCAGUGGUGAAAUCUUCCGGCUCAACCGGGAACCUGCCAUUGAUACUGUUAGUCUUGAGUUCGGCUGAGGUAGGCGGAAUGUGUAAUGUAGCGGUGAAAUGCUUAGAUAUUACACAGAACACCAAUUGCGUAGGCAGCUUACUAGACCGACACUGACGCUGAGGCACGAAAGCGUGGGGAGCGAACAGGAUUAGAUACCCUGGUAGUCC